Molecule: ribosomal RNA, 441 nt
Filed under: uncultured marine eukaryote
Lineage: Eukaryota
Description: bacterial SSU rRNA
Rfam family: Eukaryotic small subunit ribosomal RNA
Source: RNAcentral
UUAAAAAGCUCGUAGUUGUUCUUCUAAGGAUUGAAGUCGCCUCAUGGCUUGUAUUGAUAUCCUUAUCCGCUUUGAUUUAGCAAUACGCACUUUGGUUGAGCGAUUGUGUAAUCAAGCAAUUUACUUUGAAAAAAUUAGAGUGUUUCAAGCAGGCGAUUGCUGGAAUACAUUAGCAUGGAAUAAUAGAACACGACCUCUUAGGCAUUUUAUUGGCAUAUGACUGGAGGUAAUGAUUAACAGGGACAGUUGGGGGCAUUAGUAUUGCAUUGUCAGAGGUGAAAUUCAUUGAUUAGUGCGAGACUAACUUAUGCGAAAGCAUUUGCCAAGGAUGUUUUCAUUAAUCAAGAACGAAAGUUAGGGGAUCAAAGACGAUUAGAUACCGUCCUAGUCUUAACCAUAAACUAUACCGACUAGGGAUUAGUGAGGAGUAUUGUGCCUCAU